RNAcentral lists this ribosomal RNA (470 nucleotides) under uncultured organism. RNAcentral's name for it is "partial 16S ribosomal RNA". It matches the Rfam family "Bacterial small subunit ribosomal RNA", at positions 334 to 796 of the family's 1533-position model. The record is from RNAcentral.
CACUCCUGCGGGAGGCAGCAGUGGGGAAUUUUGGACAAUGGGCGAAAGCCUGAUCCAGCAAUGCCGCGUGUGUGAAGAAGGCCUUCGGGUUGUAAAGCACUUUUGUCCGGAAAGAAAUCCUUGGCUCUAAUACAGUCGGGGGAUGACGGUACCGGAAGAAUAAGCACCGGCUAACUACGUGCCAGCAGCCGCGGUAAUACGUAGGGUGCGAGCGUUAAUCGGAAUUACUGGGCGUAAAGCGUGCGCAGGCGGUUUGCUAAGACCGAUGUGAAAUCCCCGGGCUCAACCUGGGAACCGCAUUGGUGACUGGCAGGCUAGAGUAUGGCAGAGGGGGGUAGAAUUCCACGUGUAGCAGUGAAAUGCGUAGAGAUGUGGAGGAAUACCGAUGGCGAAGGCAGCCCCCUGGGCCAAUACUGACGCUCAUGCACGAAAGCGUGGGGAGCAAACAGGAUUAGAUACCCUUGUAGUCC